AAGUCGUAACAAGGUUUCCGUAGGUGAACCUGCGGAAGGAUCAUUAACACUAAAUCCACGUGUCCAAAUCACCUUUGGACAUAAACCCCCCUCUAGCGAACUAGCGUGGGUCUCUUACUAUGGGCUUCCGUUGAUGAUUCUCUCGCAAGAGAGAGUCGAAGCUUUAGAGACUUGCGAUUUUUUCUCUUUUUCUAUUCCUAUUAAUUUUUUUUAACCCAAUUGAAACUUCUAGACUGAAACUUGCAGCAAGAGGCGAAAGCACUUGCAGCGAAAAAACAAAACGCUUAAAACAACUCUUAGCAACGGAUAUCUUGGUUCUC
Molecule: unclassified non-coding RNA, 320 nt
Filed under: fungal sp.
Lineage: Eukaryota; Fungi
Description: partial internal transcribed spacer region
Rfam family: Eukaryotic small subunit ribosomal RNA (bases 1-46)
Source: RNAcentral